This is a long non-coding RNA of Corticium candelabrum, 3200 nucleotides long. RefSeq lists it as uncharacterized. Lineage: Eukaryota; Metazoa; Porifera; Homoscleromorpha; Homosclerophorida; Plakinidae. The record is from RefSeq and is a predicted model, not a curated record. The transcript has 7 exons.
GCCACUAUGAUCAGGGGCUAGCGAGAGGAUUACGCAUCCUGUGCCUUCACCUGCAACAGUUCAGUCCAGCGACAAGCAAAGACGUGUCCGUAAUCCAAAAGACUUCAACUACGAAAUUACGCUGUUGUAUGGUCUUGGUUGAACAUGGUCUAGCUGUCAGAAACGUAUAGGUGAAAACAUCGAUCCCUCGGCCACCUCAAAGAUGUUGACAGUUUCUUCCUGUUACAAAUAUGCAUAGGGCUGAGAUUGAGGCUUUUGGAGAAGAUUCGAUAAUACAAAUACAGGAAACUUGCUGUCACAACAAAACUGUGGUAGAGAUAUGCUAAGUUAAGUACAUGAUUGUGGAACUAUGCUGCUUCAACUAAGCUGUCGUCACUGUAUUGUCGACAGUAGGUCCCCGAUACAGGUGCGCCUUGGUGUUGGCCGUUGAAGAUGGAUGACGCACUGAGGCACCUUGGUCAACUUUGAUGUGUCUCAGUUUGACGGUAAGAGGGUUGCUGGGAAAAGGAAACUGACGCCCAAAGCUGUGCCCACAAUGUUUCUUCACUGAAGAGUUCCUGCUCGGAGAAAGCCUCCAACUGACAGAAGUGCCCCGUCAAACCCAGCUCCAUCUGAUCACACCUAUUGUGCCUUCCUUGAACAUGGCCAACUAUCAUCUUGUGAAUUUGAUCUUACACAAGCACUAGAUGAAGAGGUAUCUAGCAGUGAAGCAAUGACUUCCACUGCUUCUUCCUGUGAUGACCCCCUUCAAUCAGAAGUCAGUAGGUUGAAGUGCAAGGUCAAGGAAUUGAAGUCGGAGCUACACAGGACAAAGAAAGAUCAGAAGGCUUUGCUACACCGUAAGAUGAAGCAAGAAGCAACCAUCAGGAAAUUGUUUGGUCAGGAUCAACUGCGUGCUCUUUCUAGAGGAGGGAUGCGUGGAAUUAAUUGGGCAACCUCCACUGUAAAGAAGGCAUUGCGGCUGCGAUUUUCUUGUGGAGCUUCAGGGUACAACCUUCUGUUGCAGCAAGGUUAUCCUCUACCAUCUGUUCGGACACUUCAGAGAAGAAUGGAAUGUGUGACAUUUAUGCCUGGCAUCCUCAGUCAAGUUUUUGGCUAUCUGGGAUUAAAGGUUAGUGAGCUAAGAGAGGAAGAGUGAGUUUGCUGCCUAACCUUGGAUGAAAUGGCAAUAACUCCCACUAUUGAGUAUGAUGCAAGCAGUGGUCAGGUAAUGGGUAAUGUAUCAUUUCCUGAUCAUACUGGCGAUGCAACACAUGGUCUAGUUUUCAUGCUAGCAGGAGUGGCCUUGCGAUGGAACAAACAGUUGCCUUCUAUUUCACUGGCAAUUCUACCGAUGGAACUGUCAUUAGGCCAAUUGUGCUUGAUGUGAUCAAGAGAGCAGCAGAGAUUGGCGUUCAUGUUAUUGCGAUAACCAGUGAUAUGGGGAGUGCCAACAGAGCCAUGUGGAGGAGCUUCAAUCUUUUGACUGGCAAGCACUGCAAGCAGACUGUGAACAAAAUUCCUCACCCUUAAAACCCACAAAGAUGGCUCUACUUCAUUGGCGAUGUGCCACAUGUUAUUAAGAAUCUUAGAUCUCCACUCGUGAAUGGGCAAGUGAUCACUCUACCAGAUAAUGUGGUAUCGGCCAACAACAUGAGUUGUAGCACUGUGAGCCUUACUCCCAUUCAGGAUCUUGCAAUAUUUCAAGAACCUCUAGAUCUGAAAAUUGCCCCCAAGCUGACUCAGGGAACCCUUGUGCCUUCGAACUUUCAAAAGAUGAAAGUGUCUGGUGCUCUAAAUUUUUUCAGCAAUUCUGUUAGUUUGGGCCUACGCUAUGUUUUGAAAGAGGAGAACAGGAGCAGUGACCAUCUUGCCACUGCUUGGUUCAUAGAGACAUGUAAUCACUGGUUUGACUUGAUGGCGAGUAGGCACCCAGUUUUAGCUUUGAGCAAAAGACUUCCUUAAAAGUAUAAGGAGGCUAUCAGGUUUUUGCACAGUGUAGUAGACCUAUUCAAGAACCUGAAGAUUGGAGAGAGGGGGGAUUGGAAACCCGUGCAGACAGGGGUCAUAAUGUCAACCACAUCUAUACUAGAAAUCCAGGAGGAGCUGCUCAAUGAUGGUUUUAAAUCCUUGCUUACUUCUAGGUUUACACAGGGUUGUCUAGAAAACCUUUUUAGUAUGGUAAGGCUGAAGAAUCCCAUUCCAUCCUCGUUGUCUUUCAAGUAUGCCCUGAAAAUAAUAAGCAUUUCCCAAUUCAUGAAGCCACUUGCCACGCAGAGUAGCUAUCAAGAAGAUGAUAGGGACUUUGCCGUUGUCUUUCUUGAUCAGUCAGUACCAUUGCUAAAGGGUGAACCUGAAGUGAAGUUAGUAGAGCUUUUCGGAGGUAAAGGCAAUAGAAAACCUGAACGAGGCUGAGCUAAACCUAGUAGGGUACUGUGUUUAUGGUAUCAAGAAGAAUGAAAGUCUUUGUCCCAAGUGCAUUGGUGAAAUUGUGAGUGCUACCCCUGGGUCCGUGCAGCUGCUCUGACUGAUUUGAAAGAAUACAAGGCUGGAUGUCUUGUGCAUGUAGGGGAUAGGGUAUUUUCCAUGAUGCUACUUAGAAGUUGAGAUCAUGUUUAGAAACAUUAGUGAUAGUGCUAUCAUGGCAGCAAAGCAAUCUGAACAAGCUUCUUCUAGACAAGGCUGAAAAACUCACAGAAACUGUCCAGUUUCUCAAGUGUCAUGAUAUCAAGAGGAAGCUUUGUAGCGAAUACUUGAGGAUCAGGUUGCAAAUAUUUUGCAGAAAGGUGAGAUGUCAGAGGAUGAAAGAAGCGCAGAUGAAGAAGGCUGGACAAGAAUUGGGAAGCAAAAGCAUGACAAUGAGGAAUCUGGUCAAGCAUUUGAAGUGACAGAACCUGGCUAGUGCUCAGCAGUCAAGUGCAUGGAACAGCCUGUGUCAUUUGCUGUUGUUGGUAUAUAGUAUUAACGUUGUAGUGAUGUCAGUCAUGCAUAUAAUGUAGCAAGAUUCAUUGUAGCUUUGUGCUCUUUUUGUUUGUGUGUCUGCUGUGGACUUGUAUACAGAAGCAAAAGGACUGAAACUGUAGUUAGAUUAUUUGGUUAUGUGUACCUCAGAUGCGGCGUACGUACUAUAUUGAUGAUUACCAGCCGUCGAUUUUGUAAGUGGUCAUGUUUGGACAGUGCAGACAAUAUUAUGUACGAGUUUAGAUUUGUGGGCGGUCUGA